Molecule: ribosomal RNA, 469 nt
Filed under: uncultured bacterium
Lineage: Bacteria
Description: partial 16S ribosomal RNA
Rfam family: Bacterial small subunit ribosomal RNA
Source: RNAcentral
GGACGAACGCUGGCGGCGUGCUUAACACAUGCAAGUCGAACGGAAAGGCCCUGCUUUUGUGGGGUGCUCGAGUGGCGAACGGGUGAGUAACACGUGAGUAACCUGCCCUUGACUUUGGGAUAACUUCAGGAAACUGGGGCUAAUACCGGAUAGGAGCUCCUGCUGCAUGGUGGGGGUUGGAAAGUUUCGGCGGUUGGGGAUGGACUCGCGGCUUAUCAGCUUGUUGGUGGGGUAGUGGCUUACCAAGGCUUUGACGGGUAGCCGGCCUGAGAGGGUGACCGGCCACAUUGGGACUGAGAUACGGCCCAGACUCCUACGGGAGGCAGCAGUGGGGAAUAUUGCACAAUGGGCGGAAGCCUGAUGCAGCAACGCCGCGUGCGGGAUGACGGCCUUCGGGUUGUAAACCGCUUUCGCCUGUGACGAAGCGUGAGUGACGGUUAUGGGUAAAGAAGCACCGGCUAACUACGUG